Molecule: ribosomal RNA, 462 nt
Filed under: uncultured bacterium
Lineage: Bacteria
Description: partial 16S ribosomal RNA
Rfam family: Bacterial small subunit ribosomal RNA
Source: RNAcentral
GACGAACGCUGGCGGCGUGCUUAACACAUGCAAGUCGAGCGACACUCUUCCUUCUGGGGGCUGACGGAGCGGCGAACGGUUGAGUACCACGUUUGCAACCUGCCCCUCUCUCUGGGACACCACCUGGUAACCGGUGCUAUUACCGGAUACGACAUCUAUCGCCAUCUCUCGAUGUGGAAAGUUUUUUCGGCUUUGGAUGGGCCCGCGGCCUCUCAGCUUGUUGGUGGGGUCAGGUCCCACCAAGGCGUCGACGAGUCUCCGGCCGGGGAGGGCGACUGGCCACAACGGGAAGGAGGAACGGGCCAGAAUCCUAAGGGAGGGAGGAGUGGGGAAAAAUGGGAAAGGGGGGAAAGGCUGAAGCAGGGAAGGCGGGGGAGGGAAGAAGGGCUUUGGGGUGUAAAAGUCUUUUAGCAGGGAAGAAUAAAGACGGUACCGGGAGAAGAAGCACCGGCUAACUACGUG